GGGGUUGUGGCUCAGUGGUAGAGUGCUUUCCCAGCAAGCAUGAAGCACUGGGUUCGAUCCCCAGCACCA
RNAcentral lists this transfer RNA (69 nucleotides) under Ictidomys tridecemlineatus (thirteen-lined ground squirrel). RNAcentral's name for it is "Spermophilus tridecemlineatus (thirteen-lined ground squirrel) tRNA". It matches the Rfam family "tRNA". From Rfam's summary of the family: Transfer RNA (tRNA) molecules are approximately 80 nucleotides in length. Their secondary structure includes four short double-helical elements and three loops (D, anti-codon, and T loops). The record is from Rfam by way of RNAcentral. Lineage: Eukaryota; Metazoa; Chordata; Mammalia; Rodentia; Sciuridae.